AUGCAGCCCUAGACAGAGCUGUUAAUGUGCAGGAAACACAAGACAGAAACACAUUAGACACCACCACAGAGAAGCAAGCAGCCAAAGCCAGAUAGUAGGAAUGUCUACAAGACAGUUUGAUUUCAACAAAUAAACUGCAAGAGGAGUAAGGAGAUGGAGGGGAAACCUCUACACAAAAAAAGAUUCAAGAUGUAUAUAAUCCAAUCACAUCUAUGACUCUUGUUUGGAUCCUGACUCAAAAGAACUAAAACAAAUGUAUGGCACUUACGACACAAAUGGAAAUUUGAACACUGGCUGGAUAUUUUGUAAUAAAAAUAGAUACUGCAUCCCAACUACAGUGGGCACUACACUACACGAAGAACAUAGAAAUGGUUCAUGCCCCUGUGGAGCUUUAAUUCAAAUGAGGGAGAAAGACAAUCUGCUUUAUCCACUUUAAAGAAGAAGAUAUUCAAGUUCACUGCCUAAAAGAGUUCUGUGACAAAACAGAUCAAUUCAAGCAAUAUAUUUAGCCAAAUAGCUUUUUAUACUGGUCCAAUUCCACUGUUAAAAAGCAAAUACCCUUGCUCAAAUAAAUUGGUGUGACCUCCAAAAAGUAAAAUGCUGACUCUAGUAUUUUAU
This is a long non-coding RNA of Manis pentadactyla (Chinese pangolin), 618 nucleotides long. RefSeq lists it as uncharacterized. NCBI's taxonomy places the organism in Eukaryota, Metazoa, Chordata, Mammalia, Pholidota, Manidae. The transcript is spliced from 3 exons. The record is from RefSeq and is a predicted model, not a curated record.